ACAACUGUAAAUCCUCCCCCUGGAUUAAAACUUAAAGUGCAUUUCUGCCUGGACGUGGGACUUGGGAACAGAAAAUCCAGAAUCAGGAGCAUCUGGAUGGAAGAUGAACUAACUUCUGUUGAUCAGGAAAACACAUUAGAAAAGCCUUCAGUCUUUUCAACUAUAUUGCAAGAAGUAAGAUUAUGCCAAGAAAAUGAACUGUUUUUAAUACCAAGGCUUUCUUUCCCAUUUACUUUAUAUUUGGCACUUUUUAAAAAUGGAUAACAUUUGCUGUCUUCUGAAGAAAUGAUGGCUGGAAAUUGCUUUUUUAGGGGUAAUGUAUUUUUUCCCACGUCCAAGGCAUCACUGACAAGGAAUUGCUAAAAAAAAAAAAAAAAAGGCAUUUCUUCUCACACUUCUAUUAUGGGAGGGAUUAUUUUCACUGUGAGUCCUUUUUAUUGCUUUUUGGAAUGGCUACAAUCCAGCUCUUCACAAACAACAAUAAACUUCAUGCAGUACAAAAUAUACUCAUUAUCUGCACAGGCCUUCUUUCUCUAAUGAGUUUACAAAUCUUCUUGAUUCAGAGAUAAACUGAAUGCAAAAGGUUGAUUUAAGCACUUCUGUAGCUGCCAGAUAAGUAUGCCUUUGCAAAUCAUAUUUUGGUGUUGAAGAUGAGUUUUAUUCCUUUUAAUUUGUUCAAGAACAAUUCCUACAGGUUAUUUCCUGGGUGUACAAUUUCUCAUCUGCCUUAGACAUCCUCUGAAUAGAUUGUAUUAUGAUAUUGAUUCACAUUUUCACAUUUUUAAACACAGAAAACAUAAUGACAUGAUGUAGAGUAGUAUAAUGAUUAAAAAUUAGCUAUCUUCUUGAAGAUUUCUACUCCUGAAUUAGAUGCUUAUGUUCCUUUCACAUUGAAGUACAAAGGAGAUUCAUGGGAGAUGGUGUGAAACUUUCAUAAGGUUGAACAAAAGUUUCUCCAAACAGUAGAUGUCAAUGAGAAAUGUGUUUGUGACAAACUAAAUCUCUUGAAUUCAGACUAUUUGGUAACAGUCCUACUGGCUUUGAGAUUAGAAGAGGAUAAAAUUAACAUAACAGCUAAGAUCAGCAUGCUGGAUUCAUCACCUUCCAUAGCCCUAAAGAGUUCAGUCUCACAGCUCCUUGUUUCAGAGAGGUCACUAGAAACCUUCACACAUGAAGUUGAAAAGUACAGAUCAAACACAGCUGGAAGGAGUGGCUGAUACACCAGUGUGCUGUGCUGCCAUUCAUCAAGAUCUGGACAAGCUAGCGAACUGGACGGAGAGGAUCCUUAAGUGUUUCAACAAGGGCAAGUGAAGAUUCUUACACCUGUGAAGGAGUAACUGCAUACAUAAGCACAGGUUGGGGGCUGACCUGCUGCAAAAGGACUUGUGUGUCCUGGGGGACUUUGCCCUGGUGAGGCCACAUCUGGAGUGCUGUGCCGAGUUCUGAGCUCUUCAGUUCAAGAAAGACAAGGAUUAUCUAGAGAUAGUACAGCAGUGGACUACAAAGAUGAUUAGGGUGCUAGAAUAAGACCCUUAUGAGGAAGACUGAGAAACCUGGGACAGUUUAACCUUGAGAAGACUGAGAGGGGAUCUUAUCAAGAUGUAUAACUAUCUAAUGGGCAAGUGUCAAGAGGAUGGUGCCAAGCUCCUUGUGGUGUCCAAUGACAGAACAAGGGGUAACAGACACAAACUGGACCACAAGGUGCUCAAUCUGAACAUGAGAAAUAACUUCUUUACUUUGAGAGUGACAGAGCACUGGAAUGAAUUGUCCAGAGAGGACAUGGAGUUUUCUUCUCGGGAUAUAUAUUCUGGUCACUUUGCUGUGCAACCUGAUCUGGGGAACCUGCUUUUGCAGGAGGAUUGGAAUAAGCAAUCUCCAGAGGUUUAUUAGAAACCUUAAAUUUUAUUUUUCUAUGAUUCUGUGAUUAUAGCAAGAGUCUCUAACAAAGCUGCAAAGUACUGCUAUGUUUCUUGUAGUGAUACUACUUCAAAUGAGUGUUAUCUGACAGGUGCCUGCUACCUUAAAAUUUAAGUCUCUGUCUACAGAUACUGUUGUAAUCAAUUGGUUUGAUUCUUUUUUUUUUUCAUUAACUAAUAUAAUAAAAUUUUACAUGUUUAUAUCGAGAUAUAAAAUUAUAGUUGUGGACCAUAAAAUAAAGCAUGAU
This is a long non-coding RNA of Gallus gallus (chicken), 2164 nucleotides long. The record is from Ensembl. Lineage: Eukaryota; Metazoa; Chordata; Aves; Galliformes; Phasianidae.